This is a long non-coding RNA of Phascolarctos cinereus (koala), 1572 nucleotides long. The record is from Ensembl. Lineage: Eukaryota; Metazoa; Chordata; Mammalia; Diprotodontia; Phascolarctidae.
AUGUUUGCCCUGGAUUUAGACACCAAGGACACAAUUCUACCUGGCUCUGACGGCCAGGUGACCCCUCCAUUCAUCCCUGACCUGGACCAAGCUAAAACUGAGGAUAUUCCAAACCCAAACAUCCAGACACUUCCAGCAGGACUAAAAGAUGAUGAAAAAAUGUCACAUACAAUUGAUAAGCAGGCCGUGAUUUUAACAGGCCAAGAUCCUGGGGCAUUGAGAUUAGAUCAGCAGGAAAAGCCUCUAAGAGGCCUGGAUUGUGGGUCCACAUCAUCAUCUGGACCUGACCAGCAAGAUGAGGACAUACAAGACUUCACGGAACAAAAGCCCUGGGAAGCAAAGCCACCAAAGGCCAUCAUUUUAAUAGACCAGGACCCUAGAUCAAGACCUCUGGGCUUAGACCAGGAGGACAAAACUCAAACUGGCCUUGAUCCGCUGGCCACACUGCCACUCAGAAUGGAGCAUAAGGAUGAGGAAACAACACCAAGCUCCACGGUCCAUUUCUCAAUUCAAAUAGAUCAAGAAAAACUAGAAACAGUGUCACCAAAACCAGACAGCCUCGACACAAUUUUGACAGUCUGGGAAGAUGAGGAAAUGCCUGUAAUGGGCUUAAGCAACCAAGACAACAUUGCUCCUGGCCCUGAAAACCAGUUGCCAGUUCCAGCAAGUCCUGACCACCAGGACAAGGACAUACUGGACCACAAUGCCCAUGUUUUAUUUCUAGCAGGUCUAAACCACUGGGGAACAAUAUCACAGGGAAUAGAACAGCAGCUUAUGGAACCAAUUGAUUGGGAUUUCUGGGAAUCACCUCUUUCCCUGAGCAUAGGCACCCAAGAGAUAACACUAAGUGACUCUGCCCACUGGGGGGACACCCCUCCACCCCACCAUAAUCACCAGACUGCAUAUAGACCAGAUUCUAAUACUCUAACCUCUCCUCAAAGAGAAAAAUGUUGGAAAACAAUACUACAGGGAAGUGACCAUAAGGCUACAACAUCGUCAGAUCAAGAUCAUAGGGCAAGCAUACCUCCUUUGACCUCAGGCCCACAGGAUAAAAUUCUACCUCCCUCUGACCCCCAGACCACACUCCAAACCAACCUUGAACACUGGGAUGAGAUUAUAGCAGACCCCAUUAGCCAUGUGUCUCUUCAAAUGGAACAAGAGCCCUGGGAAAUGGCACCUCUUAGAACUGACCACCAGGACACAACUCUGUCAAACCAAGGUUGCACAAGGCCUCCAGUGAACUUAGACUGGAAGGGCAAUACCUUAUCUGGCAUCAACCACCAAAGCAUAUCUCCCACCAGCCCUGAUAAACAGCCUGAAGACUCCACAGGUCCUUUUGCCCAGGUCUUGCUUCAAACUGAACAGCAAGAUCCAGAAACAAUGGCAACCCACCAGGGCAUAGCCCCAGCGGUCCAGAAUCAUCAAUCCGCCCAAUCAUCAGACUCCCAGUACUCAAUCCCACUUGACCCUACACCUGAAGCCACACUUCCACCCAGCCCCAACAAACAGAAUGAAGAUACACAAGUCCUCAUUAUCCAUCCCUCACUUCCAACUGAACCAGAGUUCGGGUGA